CUGCGUGUUCAGCUGAACUAACGAACAAAGGGAUUCAGUUUACUUUCCUUGGUGAGCUGAAUGUAAUUCGUGUCGUUUGUAUUAUAUAUUCAUGAACGUGUUCAUUUGUUGUGUGGUUUGUGCUCAGAAAUAUUUGUUUCGUUUUUUGGGGUAGGAACUAUGUUUACGUGGUUAGUUUCGGGGGGACAUGUUUUAGUGUCACAGAGCCACCAGGUAUGUUAAGUUUUAAGUAACGGUAAAACUCAGCAACGGGAUCAUCAUUUUAAGGUAGCUUUCACAGUAGUAAUAGUUCCUGAAGUAAAGUGUUCUCAUUCCCUCUUGGAUGUGUGCAGUCAGUGAGGUACGUUUUGUUUAAGGUCUUGUUAUAUCUGUUCAACGGCACGAACAGCUAACUGGGGUAGCGAGAGGAGCUAGCGCUAGGAGCAGCCUGCUAACUACACAGCUAUGUUUACAUCCACACGACUCAACCAAGUGGAAACGCUUUGGACGAUGCCCCGUGCAAAGUCAUGCAACCAGUCUGAGAACAUCAAUGGGAAUGGCACAUGGGACACGUGGCUUUCAAUUCCAGCGAGGUGGCGGCACGAAUCUCUGCAUAUCUGACUGACAUCUCCCAGUGGAUGUCCGCCCAUCACCUGAAGAUCAACCCCGACAAGACCGAACUACUUUUCUUCCCUGGAAAAAACUCGCCCACCCAGGACCUGACCGUUAACUUCGGCGACUCCGUGUUAACGCCCACUCAGAAUGCCAGGAACCUCGGCGUGACACUGGACUCCCAACUCUCCCUGACUGCCAACAUCGCAGCGACGACACGAUCCUGUAGAUACACGCUCUACAACAUCAGGAGAAUACAACUUCUUCUCACUCAGAAGGCGGCAUAGGUACUGAUUCAGGCUCUUGUCAUCUCCCGCCUUGACUACUGUAACUCUGCUGGCAGGUCUCCCAGGUACCGCCAUACGACCACUGCAGCUCAUCCAGAAUGCAGCAGCUCAUCCGGUCUUCAACCUUCCGAAAUACUCCCACACCGCUUCUCCGUUCUCUUCAUUGGUUACUAGUGGCUGCCCGCAUCCAGUUCAAAACAUUGGUACUGACGUACCACGCUGUGAAUGGAUCGGGACCAGUCUACAUCCGGGACAUGGUGAAACCCUACAUCCCAACACGCACACUCCGCUCUGCAUCUGCCAAGCUGCUUGUUCCUCCCUCACUGAGAGAAAAGCACUCGGCGAGAUCGCGACUCUUUGCUGUCCUGGCUCCCAGAUGGUGGAAUGAGCUCUCCGAUGACAUCAGGAAAACUCAAGAAAAAACUCAAGACACACCUUUUUAGACUCUACCUUGACUAAAACACUAGCAGACCGUAGCACUAACAAAUGGUAGCACUUAAAUUGUACUUAUAAUGGCACUUAUCUUUAACAUGUUUUGAAACUGCUUAGUUGAUGAAAAAUGUACUUUCUUGUUACUUGUUCUUCUGAGUUUGUAUCUCUAUGUGGAAAUGCACUUAUUGUACGUCACUUUGGAUAAAAGCGUCAGCACUUAUUUAAGAAGACUCCUCAUGUGACUUAAAAUGUGUUUAAUGAAUCCAGAAUGUAAUAUUUGUUCAGUAUGCAGGGGCAGUGAUUUAUUUAGUCAUGUUUAGUCAUAUUUUGUUUUUUUUACAUGACAAUAUGGUUUGGUACGUGCUGAGUUAAUGAAUAUACAUUCUAAGUGCAAUGUCCAUAUAUGAAUAAGAGUUGUAUACGUUUAUCAUAGUCAAUAUGGUAUGGAAAUAUCCCUUAUGUAGUUAGGUCAAUAGGAACUAUAUUAGGCAGUAAUCACAGCUAAGGUAAUUACAGGUGGAUAUUUCUGGGAAUUAACCUUGAUUGAGACUGCAUCUAUAAGAUAUACAGGACAAGAAAAAUGCACUGGAUGUAAAUUGUACAUGUGUUGAAUCAAUUAUACGGACGCAAACUGGAGAACGAGACAAGUGUUGCUGUGAUUCUUGCGCUUCAGACUCUACCUUUAUUUUACAGGAAUGCAUCUUUUUGUUAUCGUGGUCAUCGUGCCCGAGACCCGUAACAAUUACUCUGCGAUCUCCACCAACUGUCUCUGCUACAU
Molecule: long non-coding RNA, 2088 nt
Organism: Pungitius pungitius (ninespine stickleback)
Lineage: Eukaryota; Metazoa; Chordata; Actinopteri; Perciformes; Gasterosteidae
Exons: 3
Source: RefSeq, a predicted model, not a curated record